GUGGGGAAUUUUGGACAAUGGGCGCAAGCCUGAUCCAGCAAUGCCGCGUGCAGGAAGAAGGCCUUCGGGUUGUAAACUGCUUUUGUACGGAACGAAACGGUCAUGGCUAAUAUCCGGGGCUAAUGACGGUACCGUAAGAAUAAGCACCGGCUAACUACGUGCCAGCAGCCGCGGUAAUACGUAGGGUGCGAGCGUUAAUCGGAAUUACUGGGCGUAAAGCGUGCGCAGGCGGUGCUGUAAGACAGGCGUGAAAUCCCCGGGCUCAACCUGGGAAUUGCGCUUGUGACUGCAGUGCUGGAGUGCGGCAGAGGGGGAUGGAAUUCCGCGUGUAGCAGUGAAAUGCGUAGAUAUGCGGAGGAACACCGAUGGCGAAGGCAAUCCCCUGGGCCUGCACUGACGCUCAUGCACGAAAGCGUGGGGAGCAAACAGGAUUAGAUACCCUAGUAGUCC
Molecule: ribosomal RNA, 450 nt
Filed under: uncultured bacterium
Lineage: Bacteria
Description: partial 16S ribosomal RNA
Rfam family: Bacterial small subunit ribosomal RNA
Source: RNAcentral